RNA transcript from Musa acuminata AAA Group (dessert banana), 3090 nucleotides. It is a transcript of the gene named transport inhibitor response 1-like protein Os04g0395600, with no coding region annotated. The transcript is spliced from 4 exons. Lineage: Eukaryota; Viridiplantae; Streptophyta; Magnoliopsida; Zingiberales; Musaceae. The record is from RefSeq and is a predicted model, not a curated record.
AACGGACGAGCGUUGGAGCGAGCAAAAAGGAGUGGUGAGAGAAGGGCAUCAGAAGCUGAGGUCCUCCUCUCCCCUUCCCUUCUUGCUCUCUGGAUCACGCCUUUUGCUCACUCUUUUCUCUCCUGCUGUUGUUUGCUUUGAUUUAGUGGGUUUUUUUCGAUGCAUUGGUCUAACUAGUUUGGGGAAAAUCUUUCCUUUCAUCUUCUUGGAUUUUUCCUGGUGUGAUUUGGGUGCAUUUUGCCCCAAAUCAGUCGCUGGUGUCUUCCCGAUGUGAUCAGAGUACAAAAAGAUGGGUUUUGGUUUGAUUUACCGGCUUCGAUAUCCGAUCUUUCCUGGAUUUAUUCGCCAAAACAGCGAUUUUACUUUUCUAUCUAGGUCGGGAGUAGAUCUGGGUUCGGGUGCAUUUCUGGUGGAGUCGGUGGCGAGAGCUAGAUGAAAGGUGGGAUCUUUAGCUCGGUUCUUAUGGCAUUUCUGGUGGUGUUCAGUGGAACUUAGCUACAGAUCUGGGUGGGUGUUGUGCUCUUUUUGCUGCUGACACUAAGCUCGGGAAGAAGAAGGUCUUAUUUUGCCAUGACUUACUUCCCGGAGGAAGUGGUGGAGCACAUCUUUGACUUCCUCGUCUCGCACCGGGACCGUAACGCCGUGUCGACGGUGUGCAAGGCAUGGUAUCAGGUAGAGCGGCUCAGCCGCCGGAGCGUAUUUGUCGGCAACUGCUAUGCGGUGCUGCCGGAACGAGUAAUGACCAGGUUCCCUGGAAUGAAGUGCCUCGUCGUCAAGGGGAAGCCCCAUUUUGCCGAUUUUAACUUGGUCCCCCACGAUUGGGGCGGCUUUGCGCUGCCUUGGAUUGAGGCCGCUGCCCACGGUUGCCCUGGUCUCGAGGAGCUUCGGCUGAAGAGGAUGGUGGUGUCUGAUGAGAGUCUUGAGCUCCUCGCACGCUCCUUCCCCGACUUCAAGGCCCUUGUUCUUAUCAGCUGCGAGGGCUUCAGCACUGAUGGACUUGCUGCCAUUGCCACUCAUUGCAGGAGUCUUCGGGAGCUAGAUUUACAGGAAAAUGAGGUGGAGGAUUAUGGCCGGCAGUGGCUUAGUUGCUUCCCUGAUUCCUGUACUUCCCUAGUGUCCCUGAAUUUUUCUUGCCUCAAAGGAGAGGUGAAUGCUGGUGCUCUCGAGAGACUCGUUGCUAGGUGCCCGAGCCUCAGGGGCUUGAAGCUUAACCGUGCUGUAUCUGUAGAAUCGCUGACCAGGAUACUUGACCGAGCUCCGCAUCUGGUGGAACUUGGAACUGGUUCGUUAACAGUCGACCGCCACACUGAAGCUUACCGGAGGAUGAUAAAUGCCUUCCAUAAAUGCAAGUCGCUGAGGAAUCUGUCGGGUUUCUGGGAUGUUGAUCCACUCUGCCUGCAGUCUGUAUAUCCAAUCUGCCCAAACCUUACUGUAUUAAACUUGAGCUAUGCCCCCUCAAUCCAGGGUGCCGAUCAAGUAAAGUUGAUUCGUCACUGUUUUAAACUUCAGAAGCUUUGGGUACUAGAUUGCAUCGGAGACAAAGGGCUAGCCGUCGUGGCAUCCACUUGUAAACAGUUACAGGAGUUGAGGGUAUUUCCUUCUGAUAUCUAUGGAACUGGCACUGCUGCCGUGACCGAAGAAGGCCUGGUCGCUAUAUCUUCAGGUUGCUCAAAGAUGAACUCUCUGCUGUAUUUCUGCCGCCAGAUGACAAAUGCUGCACUUAUCACCGUCGCAAAGAACUGUCCCCGUUUCAUACGGUUCAGGCUGUGCAUCCUUGAUCCAGGGAAGCCUGAUCCCAUCACUAAUCAGCCACUGGAUGAAGGUUUUGGGGCUAUUGUGCAGUCAUGUAAAGAUCUUAGGAGACUAUCAUUAUCAGGUCUUCUAACCGACAAGGUUUUCUUGUAUAUCGGCGAGUAUGCUGCACGUCUUGAGAUGCUUUCGAUUGCAUUCGCCGGUGAUAGCGAUAAGGGAAUGAUUUACGUACUCAACGGGUGCAAGAAUCUCCGGAAGCUAGAAAUAAGGGACAGUCCGUUUGGCGAUGCCGCACUUUUGGAGAAUGUCGGGAAGUAUGAAACAAUGCGAUCCCUUUGGAUGUCAUCCUGUGAUGUUACGUUGGGGGGUUGUAAGGCACUUGCAGCAAAGAUGCCGAGAUUAAACGUGGAGGUCAUAAAUGAAUGGGAUGAAAGCGUUGAGAUGGAGGAAAAUCCUAGCGACACACACAAGGUGGAGAAAAUGUACGUGUAUCGAACUCUGACUGGACCAAGGAACGAAGCACCGGAUUUCGUCUGGACAUUAUAGAGUCUGCUAGCAUGGCUGUAUGGUCGGUAGAUGCGUAAAAGGUAGUUUAAUUGAGAUUGUAAUUUUUUUUUUCAUUUCAUUUAGUGGUACCAUGAUCCUUCCUAGUUAUGUUUGUAGGUUGAAGUUAGGGUGACAGAACACAAAGUCCCAGUUUGUAGAUUUUGGUUCUGCUACAAGAGGCUUCUUGUUUGUAAUGUUCUGAACCAAGAUGGCCAAACAUGUAGAAAAAGCUCUCUCAGUGCAGGCUCUAAACAGUUUUUACCACCAGAUUUUAUCCGUCGGUGGAUUACAAUAACGGCGACAGUUCGUAUCAUUUUGUUGGCAUCAUACAGUCAAUGUACAAACACUCACCAUGCCAUUGCAGAUGACCCCUGUGACUGUGAUGCAGUCGUCCAAGCACUCGGUAGCAUCGUCGGAAGGGGGUUGGAGAUGCAAGCGGUGCUGCCAGCCAGGAUAAGCUCGUCUUUUGCGUAUCACGUAGCGACUACGUCUGUGUCCUCUGCGGGAGCGAUGUGUCCAAACUCAUCAUCAUUUCUUCCCUCGCACCUUUUUCUUUUUGUUUUCAUUUCUGCGUUGCUUGGUCACGAUUGCUCCGCCGUUUCUUUUCUGCUCGGUGACUAUUUCUCAGAGCCGACCGGCUUUUCUCUCUCCGGUCGACGUCGGCUAUGCCGGCUGCUCGGUUCUUCUUUUCGUCUGGCAUGAAUGUUAGCAAGUUGAAAUUUUGGUUGGGACUUCGAGCUGUAAUAGAUAACCAAUAUUCUUCUUUUCCUAAGUACACAUUAAGUUUCCUGA